AGAUAAGAGGUCUGGAAAGAGGACGCCUAGAAAGAGAGGGAACAUACUUUAAAAGAUGAUGUUGUGUUUAUCUUUAGGAGAGUUCCUAUUUUCAUAGUGUUCUUUGUUUGGUUCCAGAUAUUGUUCCUCACUACAGCUUCUUUACCCUUCUUCUAAGGUGUUCUUACCAGCAGAUUUCAAAAACUAAAAUUUUCUGGUGUUUGAUCAUUGUCUUGUUGAUUGAAAACUUUUAGUGCUGGACAUUUCUGAUUCUUAUCUUUGUAAGUGUAUAAUAUUUUUAUUUUGUAUUUAUUUUCCCCCUUUUUCAUUUAUUGUUUUUCUCUUUCUCGCUUUGUUGAUAUUUUGUUAGAGAAAACUAUUGUAUUCAAACAUAAUAUACAAUA
Juglans microcarpa x Juglans regia is the source of this 383-nucleotide long non-coding RNA. RefSeq lists it as uncharacterized. The record is from RefSeq and is a predicted model, not a curated record. Lineage: Eukaryota; Viridiplantae; Streptophyta; Magnoliopsida; Fagales; Juglandaceae. The transcript has 4 exons.